RNAcentral lists this small nuclear RNA (109 nucleotides) under Rhodnius prolixus. The record is from RNAcentral. Lineage: Eukaryota; Metazoa; Arthropoda; Insecta; Hemiptera; Reduviidae.
GUACUCGCUUCGGCGGUACAUAUACCUACUAAAAUUGGAACGAUACAGAGAAGAUUAGCAUGGCCCUUGCGCAAGGUUUACGCAAAAUCGUGAAGCGUUCCACAUUUAC